GAUCCUGGCUCAGGAUGAACGCUGGCGGCGUGCCUAACACAUGCAAGUCGAGCGAAGCGAUCUGAUGGAAGUUUUCGGAUGGAAGUCAGAUUGACUGAGCGGCGGACGGGUGAGUAACGCGUGGGUAACCUGCCUCAUACAGGGGGAUAACAGUUAGAAAUGGCUGCUAAUACCGCAUAAGCACACAGGACCGCAUGGCCCGGUGUGAAAAACUCCGGUGGU
This 222-nucleotide ribosomal RNA is filed under the name uncultured bacterium. RNAcentral describes it as "partial 16S ribosomal RNA". It matches the Rfam family "Bacterial small subunit ribosomal RNA", at positions 15 to 219 of the family's 1533-position model. The record is from RNAcentral.